UACACACCGCCCGUCACACCAUGAGAGCUGUUUGUACCCGAAGUUAUCUUAGCCAACCUGAAAAGGAGGCGGGUACCUAAGGUAUGUAUGGUGAUUGGGGUG
RNAcentral lists this ribosomal RNA (102 nucleotides) under uncultured bacterium. RNAcentral describes it as "partial 16S ribosomal RNA". It matches the Rfam family "Bacterial small subunit ribosomal RNA", at positions 1384 to 1482 of the family's 1533-position model. The record is from RNAcentral.